This 1033-nucleotide ribosomal RNA is filed under the name Comamonas sp. RNAcentral describes it as "bacterial SSU rRNA". It matches the Rfam family "Bacterial small subunit ribosomal RNA", at positions 33 to 1031 of the family's 1533-position model. The record is from RNAcentral. Lineage: Bacteria; Pseudomonadati; Pseudomonadota; Betaproteobacteria; Burkholderiales; Comamonadaceae.
AUGGUUUUGCGCAUGCUUUAACAUGCAGUCGAACGGUAACAGGUCUUCGGAUGCUGACGAGUGGCGAACGGGUGAGUAAUACAUCGGAACGUGCCUAGUAGUGGGGGAUAACUACUCGAAAGAGUAGCUAAUACCGCAUGAGAUCUAAGGAUGAAAGCAGGGGAUCGCAAGACCUUGUGCUACUAGAGCGGCUGAUGGCAGAUUAGGUAGUUGGUGGGAUAAAAGCUUACCAAGCCGACGAUCUGUAGCUGGUCUGAGAGGACGACCAGCCACACUGGAACUGAGACACGGUCCAGACUCCUACGGGAGGCAGCAGUGGGGAAUUUUGGACAAUGGGCGAAAGCCUGAUCCAGCAAUGCCGCGUGUAGGAUGAAGGCCCUCGGGUUGUAAACUACUUUUGUACGGAACGAAAAGACUCUUUCUAAUAAAGAGGGUCCAUGACGGUACCGUAAGAAUAAGCACCGGCUAACUACGUGCCAGCAGCCGCGGUAAUACGUAGGGUGCAAGCGUUAAUCGGAAUUACUGGGCGUAAAGCGUGCGCAGGCGGUUAUGUAAGACAGAGGUGAAAUCCCCGGGCUCAACCUGGGAACUGCCUUUGUGACUGCAUAGCUAGAGUACGGUAGAGGGGGAUGGAAUUCCGCGUGUAGCAGUGAAAUGCGUAGAUAUGCGGAGGAACACCGAUGGCGAAGGCAAUCCCCUGGACCUGUACUGACGCUCAUGCACGAAAGCGUGGGGAGCAAACAGGAUUAGAUACCCUGGUAGUCCACGCCCUAAACGAUGUCAACUGGGUUGUUGGGGAAUUAACUUUUCUCAGUAACGAAAGCUAACGCGGUGAAAAUUGACCGCCCUGGGGGAGUACGGCCCGCAAGGGUUGAAAACUCAAAGGGAAUUGACGGGGGACCCGCACAAGGCGGUGGGAUGAAGGUGGGUUUAAUUUCGAUGCCACCGCGGAAAAACCUUUACCCCCCCUUUUAACAUGUUACGGGAAAUUGACCCAGAAGAUGGAACAUGGUGCUCCAAAAGAAGAACCGAA